RNAcentral lists this ribosomal RNA (533 nucleotides) under Lamprotatus sp. LAM 001. RNAcentral describes it as "partial large subunit ribosomal RNA". It matches the Rfam family "Eukaryotic large subunit ribosomal RNA", at positions 359 to 665 of the family's 3401-position model. The record is from RNAcentral. Lineage: Eukaryota; Metazoa; Arthropoda; Insecta; Hymenoptera; Pteromalidae.
GAAAGUUGAAAAGAACUUUGAAGAGAGAGUUCAAGAGUACGUGAAACCGUUCAGGGGUAAACCUGAGAAACCCAAAAGAUCGAAUGGGGAGAUUCAUCGUCAGCGGCGUUGGCUUCCGUGUGGACUGCGAUGUCCGGGACCUCGGUUCCGUGUCACGCGUUCGCUGCGGUAUGUCCGGCGUCGUCGGCGUGCACUUCUCCCCUAGUAGGACGUCGCGACCCGUUGGGUGCCGGCCUACGGCCCGGCUGGUCGACUGUCGCGUCGCGUUCACGCGUGCACGCGGCAGACCACCGGUCGCCCGGCCGGCUGCCCGGCGGUAUAGAUCGCUAUAAAACGGUAUUGGGCCGCAUUAAGUGCGUUCUGGCCCGUCGGCAGACACGUCUCGCUCGGAUUUACGGACCUAGCGCCGUUGUCGGGUGCUUGGCGUGUUGUUAGUCGACGGUGUCCUCGGACUGGCUCUUACAUUCGAACGGAUUUACCGGUCGGCGACGCUACUGCUUUGGGUACUUUCAGGACCCGUCUUGAAACACGGA